GCAGAGUAGAAGCUGGUGCGUUAAGUGUCAUGUGAACAGGGAGUUGUCAUGUGAACGAAAAGGAGAUCUUGCGAUAUCAGCUUCGCAUCCCGCUGC
RNAcentral lists this non-coding RNA (96 nucleotides) under human gut metagenome. RNAcentral's name for it is "THF riboswitch". It matches the Rfam family "THF (Tetrahydrofolate) riboswitch aptamer". Rfam says of the family: THF riboswitch presents a pseudoknot that joins P1-P2 and the loop of P3 and two THF binding. The record is from RNAcentral.